RNAcentral lists this transfer RNA (49 nucleotides) under Hylarana chalconota (copper-cheeked frog). Its description in RNAcentral is "partial tRNA-Val". Lineage: Eukaryota; Metazoa; Chordata; Amphibia; Anura; Ranidae. The record is from RNAcentral.
GCUUCUCGCCCACACCGAGAUGCCAUCUGUUUAAACCAGAUCAUUUUGA